UGGGGAAUAUUGCACAAUGGGCGAAAGCCUGAUGCAGCGACGCCGCGUGAGUGAAGAAGUAUUUCGGUAUGUAAAGCUCUAUCAGCAGGGAAGAAAAUGACGGUACCUGACUAAGAAGCCCCGGCUAACUACGUGCCAGCAGCCGCGGUAAUACGUAGGGGGCAAGCGUUAUCCGGAUUUACUGGGUGUAAAGGGAGCGUAGACGGCGAAGCAAGUCUGAAGUGAAAACCCAGGGCUCAACCCUGGGACUGCUUUGGAAACUGUUUUGCUAGAGUGUCGGAGAGGUAAGUGGAAUUCCUAGUGUAGCGGUGAAAUGCGUAGAUAUUAGGAGGGACACCAGUGGCGAAGGCGGCUUACUGGACGAUAACUGACGUUGAGGCUCGAAAGCGUGGGGAGCAAACAGG
This 404-nucleotide ribosomal RNA is filed under the name Fusobacteriota bacterium. RNAcentral describes it as "Fusobacteria bacterium partial 16S ribosomal RNA". It matches the Rfam family "Bacterial small subunit ribosomal RNA", at positions 355 to 776 of the family's 1533-position model. The record is from RNAcentral. Lineage: Bacteria; Fusobacteriati; Fusobacteriota.